RNAcentral lists this ribosomal RNA (838 nucleotides) under uncultured bacterium. RNAcentral's name for it is "bacterial SSU rRNA". It matches the Rfam family "Bacterial small subunit ribosomal RNA", at positions 35 to 905 of the family's 1533-position model. The record is from RNAcentral.
GCGGGAACAUGCGCUGCUACACAUGCAGUCGAACGGAGGCCCUAGCUUGCUAGGUGUCCUUAGUGGCGAACGGGUGACUAUCGCGUGGGGAUCUGCCCUAGAGUGGGGAACAACCUUUGGACACGAAGGCUAAUACCGCAUACGCCCUUUUGGGGAAAGGCUUCGGCCGCUCUUGGAUGAUCCCGCGUCUGAUUAGCUUGUUGGUGAGGUAACGGCUCACCAAGGCGACGAUCAGUAGCUGGUCUGAGAGGAUGAUCAGCCACACUGGGACUGAGACACGGCCCAGACUCCUACGGGAGGCAGCAGUGGGGAAUAUUGGACAAUGGGGGAAACCCUGAUCCAGCAAUGCCGCGUGAGUGAAGAAGGCCCUAGGGUUGUAAAACUCUUUCACUGAUGAAGAUGAUGACGGUAAUCAGAGAAGAAGCCCCGGCUAACUCCGUGCCAGCAGCCGCGGUAAUACGGAGGGGGCUAGCGUUGUUCGGAUUUACUGGGCGUAAAGCGCACGUAGGCGGCGUAUCUAGUCAGAGGUGAAAGCCCGGGGCUCAACCCCGGAACUGCCUUUGAUACUGGUAUGCUUGAGUUCGGAAGAGGGUAGUGGAAUUCCAAGUGUAGAGGUGAAAUUCGUAGAUAUUUGGAAGAACACCGGUGGCGAAGGCGGCUACCUGGUCCGAUACUGACGCUGAGGUGCGAAAGCGUGGGGAGCGAACAGGAUUAGAUACCCUGGUAGUCCACGCCGUAAACGAUGAGUGCUAGUUGUCGGGAUGCAUGCAUUUCGGUGACGUAGUUAACGCGUUAAGCACUCCGCCUGGGGAGUACGGUCGCAAGAUUAAAACUCAAA